ACUGAUGGCGAGUGGCGGACGGGUGAGUAAUGCAUCGGGACAUGUCUAUUUGAGGGGGAUAACUCAUCGAAAGAUGAGCUAAUACCGCAUAAAGUCUGAGGACUAAAGCUGGGGACCGGCAACGGCCUGGCGUAAAUAGGUUGCCCGAUGUCCGAUUAGCUAGUUGGUGAAGUAAAGGUUUACCAAGGCGAUGAUCGGUAGCUGUUCUGAGAGGAAGAUCAGCCACACUGGGACUGAGACACGGCCCAGACUCCUACGGGAGGCAGCAGUGGGGAAUAUUGGACAAUGGGGGCAACCCUGAUCCAGCAACGCCGCGUGAAUGAAGAAGGCCUUAGGGUUGUAAAGUUCUUUUGUCUGAGAGCAAAGUUCUGCUGAGAAUAUCGGUGGGACGUGAGAGUAUCAGAAGAAUAAGCACCGGCUAACUACGUGCCAGCAGCCGCGGUAAUACGUAGGGUGCGAGCGUUAAUCGGAAUUACUGGGCGUAAAGAGUGCGUAGGCGGAUAUAUAAGUUAGAUGUGAAAAACCCGAGCUUAACUUGGGCUGUGCAUUUAAGACUGUAUGUCUAGAGUUUGUGAGAGGGUGGUAGAAUUCCAAGUGUAGCAGUGAAAUGCGUAGAGAUUUGGAGGAAUACCGAAGGCGAAGGCAGCCACCUGGCAUAGAACUGACGCUGAGGCACGAAAGCGUGGGUAGCAAACAGGAUUAGAUACCCUGGUAGUCCACGCCCUAAACGAUGUUUACUUGCUGUUGGGAGAGAUCUUGGUAGCGAAGCUAACGCGAGAAGUAAACCGCCUGGGGAGUACGGUCGCAAGAUUAAAACUCAAAGGAAUUGACGGGGACCCGCACAAGCGGUGGAUGAUGUGGAUUAAUUCGAUGCAACGCGAAAAACCUUACCUGCUCUUGACAUGCUAGGAAUCCUGCAGAGAUGUGGGAGUGCCGCAAGGAACCUAGACACAGGUGCUGCAUGGCUGUCGUCAGCUCGUGUCGUGAGAUGUUGUCUUAAGUGACGCAACGAGCGCAACCCUUGCAACUAGUUGCCCUAAUUAAGUUUGGCACUUUAGUUGGACUGCCGACCGAGGUCGGAGGAAGGUGGGGAUGACGUCAAGUCCUCAUGGCCCUUAUGAGCAGGGCUUCACACGUCAUACAAUGGUAGGUACAGACGGAAGCUAAGCCGCGAGGCUGUGCAAACCUGAAAAAGCCUAUCGUAGUCCGGAUUGCACUCUGCAACUCGAGUGCAUGAAGUCGGAAUCGCUAGUAAUCGCAGAUCAGCAUGCUGCGGUGAAUACGUUCCCGGGUCUUGUACACACCGCCCGUCACA
Molecule: ribosomal RNA, 1315 nt
Filed under: uncultured bacterium
Lineage: Bacteria
Description: bacterial SSU rRNA
Rfam family: Bacterial small subunit ribosomal RNA
Source: RNAcentral